GCCGAGGUGGCGAAAUGGUAGACGCACUAGCUUUAGGAGCUAGCGGGAGUAAUCCCGUGGAGGUUCAAGUCCUCUCCUCGGCACCA
RNAcentral lists this transfer RNA (86 nucleotides) under Candidatus Collierbacteria bacterium. RNAcentral describes it as "tRNA-Leu". It matches the Rfam family "tRNA". Rfam says of the family: Transfer RNA (tRNA) molecules are approximately 80 nucleotides in length. Lineage: Bacteria; Candidatus Collieribacteriota. The record is from RNAcentral.